CCUUCAUGAAGUUCAGGGGAUCACCCCAGACCCCUCAGGAAGGACAGGAGAUCACCCCAGACCCCUCAAGGAGGGAAGGGGAUCACCCCAGACCCCUCAGGAAGGUCAGGGGAUCACCCCAGACCCCUCGGGGCUGCAGCUGCCCGGUCUGUGUGAGACCCUGCUCCUGCAGAGAGCCCCCAGCCCUCUCACGGCCACCAGCUCCAGCCCCCUCCCCGUGCAGCUCAUCAGGCUCUGGAUGGGAGGACAGCAGACAGAGCAGGUGAUAAUUUCAUUUCCCUUGCAAAUGAGCCCACGUUCCUUCUCCAUCCCCAGCACCUCAUCAGCAGAGCCAUCAUCCCCACCCCACUCACUUCAACUCAUCCCCCAGCCCUGACAAAGCCAUUCCCACCUCACAGGAGCCCUUCUCACCACCUCACUGCAGACAGGUUUGCUUACCAAUGAAGUUAUUAUGGUUAACUAUUAAUAUUAACGAGAACAACUUGCUUUUCCAGCAGACAGCGUUCCCUAAACCAUCAGCCAGCAGCGGCUCCUGGAGCCGUGUCCAUGGACAGGUGGCUCAGGAUGGGAUCAUGCAGAGGGUGCCUUGGACAGAAAAGGGGCUUUGUGGAUGUGGGGAAGGGGCUGAGGUGUGAGAUGGGGGUGCAAGAGACUGGAAAACCCCAACAGGUCCCAUCCCAGCCCAAGGAUGCCCCAAAUCCCCUCACAAGGAAUAUUUUAUCCCAUUUCCUCAUCCCUCGCCUUCCUCCAUCGAGGCUUUCCCAACCCCACUGCCACCCCACGCAGGAUGGGGGUCCAAAAUCAGCCAGCCCAAAUCCACAAGCUCUGCUGAAGCUCCAGCUGCUUUCAGCAGCUGUAUUUGCUGUUUUUGCUGUAUUCAGCAUCCCUGGGAGCUCCGUGCAUGGCCCAGCAGGGUGAAGAGCAGCCUGGAGGCUGGGGGGGAUCACUUUGGGCACCUCUGCCCUGCCUGAGGUGCCCGCAGCUUUCCCAGGAGCCAGCCCCAUCCCACCCUUCACUGUCCAGCCCACACUGGCUCUUCCUGGGGGUACCAGGGAAUGCUCCUGGCAGUCCCCAACGUGUCCAUCCAACCCAGCCACUCCCUCCCCAGCUCCACAUCCACAACAGCCACCAGCAUCACCCCUGCCCCCAGCAGUGCAGCUCUCUCUGCCCAAGAACUCCCACAGAAGGGCUGGGUGUGGAUUCCCCUUUAAUAUACCACUUGUCAGGGGGAGGGUUAAAAAAAAUCAAUAAAUAAAACAACUUAGGAUGCUUGAAGAAGAUG
RNAcentral lists this long non-coding RNA (1282 nucleotides) under Cyanistes caeruleus (blue tit). RNAcentral describes it as "lncRNA (ENSCCEG00000011072.1)". Lineage: Eukaryota; Metazoa; Chordata; Aves; Passeriformes; Paridae. The record is from RNAcentral.